Long non-coding RNA from Perca fluviatilis (European perch), 1674 nucleotides. RefSeq lists it as uncharacterized. The transcript has 2 exons. Lineage: Eukaryota; Metazoa; Chordata; Actinopteri; Perciformes; Percidae. The record is from RefSeq and is a predicted model, not a curated record.
UCAAUCUCUACUGCAUCUUUCUCAUAGUUUUGACAUUAAUCAUCCUUCUCAUUGUUGUCCUGCAGGAAAAAGAAACCCAGGGACAACAGUGGGUGUGUCUUCUUAACAUGUUACACAAGAAAGACUGGAAAUAAACAAAUGUUAAAUGAGGACAGCCCCUUCCUGCCAAAUAGGGGAGUUAACACAAGGAAGUGACUCAAGCAUGCCGUGUGCUGAUUGGAUGAGGGAAGAUCCUCCAGAUGGACUGCGGCUGCAAGCUCCAACCACAGGCUGCGACACAGGCAGUGAAUGACAGGGUAUGUUUUUCAUUGUGUUGUUUUACUCAUUGGUCCCCACACCUUCCAAACCAGUAUGGGUGACCAGAUACCACAGAGAUUAUCAGUACACAGAAGUAGAAGACAAUGUCACACUUUACAACCAGGAAACAGGAUCACUUUUGUGUCUGAGUAUCACUGAUAAUGCCAGACUGACACAUUUAAACACGUCUUUUAGCAGUUACAUUCACAGAGCACUAAGGAUGUAAAGGUCAGUUCUCCCAAAUUACAGAAGAUUUAUUUUCUCACUUAUACAAGUCAAGCUGAUGGAUUUGGUUGCAUUUGCCAAGGUUUUGAAAUACAAUGGAAUGUUUUUUUUUUUUUGCUGUGCUCACAGCAUUAAAAAUUACAUUUGAAAAUUUCUCCGAAUAGAAUUUGCCUUUCAUUCACAUAUUUGCAUGGUCUUUGAAACUAAAAUCUUAAUAAUCACAAUAACCAAAAUUAUGUUUUAUUAGGAUAUAAGGUGCAACUGAAGUGUGAAUGUAAACAGGACAUGAAAUAUAGCAAAACAUAUGUUUAAAACAUUUAACAGCAACAUUUCUUUCCAGAAACAAUGUCACAGUUAUCAUAUAAAAAAACAGAAUAAGCUUGUGGCCCCAUGGUGAAUACAUACAUACAUACAGCAUUCAUAGCCAGGAUUUCAGAGAUACUGAGACCUUUAGUUCUUAUCCGCAAUGCUAGAAAGUAAUUAUGCUGGAGAAAUAUUAAAAACAUUUAUUUUUUAUUUUUUUAUUAUUGUUAUAGUAAGGGUUACAGUACAAAGUAAACUCCACCGCAGAUCAUUAAAACCCAUACAUUUUUCCUUGAUUGCUAAGACAUGUACAAUGUAACUGGGAACCACUUGGUCUUCAUCAUCACUUCUUAGCACAGCAGAAGUCUUCUCUUGAAAAGGUGUUAACACUCUUUUAUUGAUUUCACACAUUACUCACAUCCUUUUUCAAAACAGUUAACACAGAUCUCAUAGAAAAUGUAAUUGUAUAGAUUAUCUUUGUUAAACAAAAGAAAACAUGUAUUCAAAGCUGAUAGAAAUGACUUGCAUAAUUAUGAAUCUCUGAUGCAUCUUUGUGAAACUCCUUUGCACAACUCUUCAAUCAGUAAUCAGUCUUAGGUUAAAACCUAGUAUAUGGCUGUUGUGGUCCAGCCAAAAAGAAUGACAUUACAGUAUUUGUGCAUUUGGGUGACAUCAUUUUUUGGUUCUUUGGUGAAGAAAAAAUGCAGUAAAAAAAGCUGUACCAUAAUGAAUGUUAAUUUUUUUCUACUCUAGGUGCUCAGUGUAAGUCUUACAUGUCAACGACAGUUCAUAAACACUGAAAUACUUGCAUACAACAAUACACUUAAUAAAGAAAACUCAUUUAUUUAA